Molecule: long non-coding RNA, 643 nt
Organism: Gallus gallus (chicken)
Lineage: Eukaryota; Metazoa; Chordata; Aves; Galliformes; Phasianidae
Exons: 2
Source: RefSeq, a predicted model, not a curated record
GGAGCUCACAGAGCAGGAAGAGCAGGGCACUGAGCACGGGCUGAGGGCACGGGAAGAAGUUUCUUAGAGGAGUCAGCAUCCAGCCAAAGGAACUGUACCAGAUGCUGUCUGUGGGAGAAGUGAAGAAUACUGGCAACGUCCCGAGCAUCAGCCUGGGACACACUGCACGGCGCACGGUCAGGAGUGCACUUCAUAAAAUAAGUCGUAUGAAAAGCAAAGCAGACUUACUUCUGUGGGGCUGAGCGUUGUCCAAGGCUUUGAAGCAGUGUCAGCUGGAUGCAGCAAGUUCCAGGAGAGAGGUGAAAAUGAAUGCCCCUGCAAAUCUUGUGCUACUAAACAGGUACCUCGCAGUUCCUUGUCACUCUCCCACUAAGUCAAUAAAGAUGGAAGAAGUCAGUUAAUCAUUAACAUAUUAUAAAAAUAUGUAAGCUUUACCAUAUGCCAUCAUUUCUAAUUGCUGUGAAACACUACCUAAGUAUAUAAGAAACUCUCAUGUGAAACUCACUUUUCUGUAAGACACUCUUUCAGAAAAACUGCCCUUGUGACCACAUGAUUUUCCAGUCCACCACGGUGCCCCUGGCCUGACAGCCUGAAGGACACGGAAUCUUCGUUUGAAAGGGAAUAAAGUGAUUUCAUAACCCUU